ACAAGCGGUGGAGCAUGUGGUUCAAUUCGAUGCAACGCGAAGACCUUACCUGGGCUUGAACCGCACCUGUAAACCUGUGGAAACACGGGUCCCUCCUUCGGGAGCAGGUGUAGAGGUGCUGCAUGGCUGUCGUCAGCUCGUGUCGUGAGAUGUUGGGUUAAGUCCCGCAACGAGCGCAACCCUUAUCAUUAGUUGCUACGCAAGGGCACUCUAAUGAGACUGCCGGUGACAAACCGGAGGAAGGUGGGGGAUGACGUCAAGUCCUCAUGGCCCUUAUGGGUAGGGCUUCACACGUCAUACAAUGGUCGGUACAGAGGGUUGCCAAGCCGCGAGGUGGAGCCAAUCCCAGAAAGCCGAUCGUAGUCCGGAUUGUUCUCUGCAACUCGAGAGCAUGAAGUCGGAAUCGCUAGUAAUCGCGGAUCAGAAUGUCGCGGUGAAUACGUUUCCGGGUCUU
Molecule: ribosomal RNA, 454 nt
Filed under: uncultured Thiobacillus sp.
Lineage: Bacteria; Pseudomonadati; Pseudomonadota; Betaproteobacteria; Nitrosomonadales; Thiobacillaceae
Description: bacterial SSU rRNA
Rfam family: Bacterial small subunit ribosomal RNA
Source: RNAcentral